UAUCAAUAAGCGGAGGAAAAGAAACUAACAAGGAUUCCCCUAGUAACUGCGAGUGAAGCGGGAUAAGCUCAAAUUUAAAAUCUGGUAGCCUCGCUGCCCGAGUUGUAAUCUGGAGAAGUGCUUUCCGUGCUGGACCGUGUACAAGUCUCUUGGAACAGAGCGUCAUAGAGGGUGAGAAUCCCGUCUUUGACACGGACUACCAGUGCUUUGUGAUGCGCUCUCAAAGAGUCGAGUUGUUUGGGAAUGCAGCUCAAAAUGGGUGGUAAAUUCCAUCUAAAGCUAAAUAUUGGCGAGAGACCGAUAGCGAACAAGUACCGUGAGGGAAAGAUGAAAAGAACUUUGGAAAGAGAGUUAAACAGUACGUGAAAUUGCUGAAAGGGAAACGCUUGAAGUCAGUCGCGUUGGCCGGAACUCAGCCUGGCUUUGGCUUGGUGCAUUUUCUGGUCGACGGGUCAGCAUCAGUUUUGAUCGUCGGAUAAUGGUUGGGGGAAUGUGGCAUCUUCGGAUGUGUUAUAGCCCUCAGUCGCAUACGAUGGUUGGGACUGAGGAUCUCAGCACACCUUUAUGGUCGGGGUUCGCCCACGUUUGUGCUUAGGAUGCUGGCAUAAUGGCUUUAAACGACCCGUCUUGAAACACGGACCAAGGAGUCUAACAUGCAUGCGAGUGUUUGGGUGGAAAACCCGAGCGCGCAAUGAAAGUGAAAGUUGAGAUCCCUGUCAUGGGGAGCAUCGACGCCCGGACCAGACCUUCUGUGACGGCUCUGCGGUGGAGCAUGUAUGUUGGGACCCGAAAGAUGGUGAACUAUGCCUGAAUAGGGUGAAGCCAGAGGAAACUCUGGUGGAGGCUCGUAGCGAUUCUGACGUGCAAAUCGAUCGUCAAAUUUGGGUAUAGGGGCGAAAGACUAAUCGAACCAUCUAGUAGCUGGUUCCUGCC
This 933-nucleotide ribosomal RNA is filed under the name Postia sp. RNAcentral describes it as "partial large subunit ribosomal RNA". It matches the Rfam family "Eukaryotic large subunit ribosomal RNA", at positions 41 to 962 of the family's 3401-position model. The record is from RNAcentral. Lineage: Eukaryota; Fungi; Basidiomycota; Agaricomycetes; Polyporales; Postiaceae.